This 195-nucleotide ribosomal RNA is filed under the name uncultured bacterium. RNAcentral describes it as "partial 16S ribosomal RNA". It matches the Rfam family "Bacterial small subunit ribosomal RNA", at positions 1297 to 1500 of the family's 1533-position model. The record is from RNAcentral.
ACUGAGUCUGCAACCCGACUCCACGAAGUUGGAUUCGCUAGCAAUCGCGCAUCAGCCAUGGCGCGGUGAAUACGUUCCCGGGCCUUGUACACACCGCCCGUCAAGCCAUGGGAGCCGGGGGCGCCUGAAGUCCGGGACCGCGAGGACCGGCCUAGGGCGAAACUGGUAACUGGGGCUAAGUCGUAACAAGGUAGC